This 2336-nucleotide long non-coding RNA is filed under the name Nicotiana benthamiana. RNAcentral's name for it is "long non-coding RNA (NBEN_LNC030442)". Lineage: Eukaryota; Viridiplantae; Streptophyta; Magnoliopsida; Solanales; Solanaceae. The record is from RNAcentral.
UCAGAUAUAGCAGGGUUCAAGUAAUCUGCUUCCACAUGUCCAAACUGCUGCAACCACUGAUAGUUACCUAAUGCCCAAUCAAUCUUACUAUAGACUUGCUUAUUAGACCAUGUGUAAUGCCAGCCUUUUGGUCUAACAGCAGUCAGCUGGAGGUCAGAGAUGACCUCUUUGAAAUCCUUUACUUCAGCAUCAGUCACAAUAUAUCCAAUCCUGUCAUCAGAAUUGAGUACAUUAUUAAAGUCUCCACUUGGCAGCCAUGCAUUCUGAUUAGGAAUCUGAACUAAUCUGAGAUCACUCCAAAGCUGUUUCCUAGGUGAAGCUGUGUUAUGACCAUAUACCACACUUAAGUGAAUACUGAUCUGAUUCCUUAUAUCUUCCACUUGACAAUGAAUAACCUAAGCAGUUAUAGCUAAUAUAUGCAUUUGAAUAUGAGACUUCCUAAUCAGCCAGAUUCUCCUAUUAGUUGCAUUUGAAUAAUUGCACUGCACCAUCCAGUUCCUUGCAAUCUUCCCUAAUAUCUUNNNNNNNNAUGACAUCUACUUUAUUUUUAGCUAAGAAGUUUUUCAACUCCUUUUGCUUAUGAGGCUGAUUAAGCCCCCUUAUGUUCCAAGUUACAACAAUCAUUGGGAAUAAGGUUCUACCCUGUAAGAUGGACCAGGGUCUACAUUAUAGCUACUGCUUCCAUUCUCAUUCAUGACAGCCUUACCAUUAUUGGCAAGAUCUGUCUGAUGUUCUCCUUUCUCAAAUUCAGCAAUAGUGAGUGCAGUUUCUGAACUGACUAAAGGAACAGUUUCAGGCUGCAAGGUGUUCUGUGGUCCAUCAGUCUCCCCAUGAGAUUGCUCCAAUAAUUGACCCUCUACUACAAGAACCACAGUACUAGUCUGCUCAUCAAUAGCCUCUACUGCAGGAAUCACUGUACUAUUCUGCUCAACCACAGUCUGCUUAGCAAUCCAUUCAGUUCUGAUAUGUUUCCCCUUCUGAUUCCCCUGCUGACUCACUCUUCCUUUUUGUCUUAUAGGUUUAAUUUGAGCCUCCUUGCUCUGCUCAGGUUUACCAUCCUUAUAAUACCAACAUUCAAAUGCAUCAUGACCAAAUUUGAGACAAUGAUUACAAAAGGAAGGCUUCCAAUCGUAUUCAAUUGUCNNNNNNNNNNNNNNNNNNNNNNNNNNNNNNNNNNNNNNNNNNNNNNNNNNNNNNNNNNNNNNNNNNNNNNNNNNNNNNNNNNNNNNAAUCUCCAAUACAUUCAAAUGCAUCAUGACCAAAUUUGAGACAAUGAUUACAAAAGGAAGGCUUCCAAUCGUAUUCAAUUGUCUGUAGUUUUGAGCCAUAUGGGGUAUCAAUCUCCAAUUCAUCAGGAAGUGGAUAGGCAGCAUCCAAAGUGACAUAUAUAUAUUGAUUUCUAAAAUUUAUGCUAUUGGUGUAAUUUAAUUGGUUAUAACUAACAAGUUGCUACUUUAUUUUUUAGGUUACUAUAUUUAUCUUGCUACAAAGAGUUACAUGUUAUUUUAGGCAAGGGCGGCCUAAGGGUUAGGCAAAUGAAGCCAUUGCCUUAGGCCUCCAAAAUAUUAAGGGCCCAAAUUUUAAGUACUAUGUUACAUAUAUCUUAUGUAAAUAUUAUUAAUAAAAUAUUUUAAAAGAUUUAAUUAAAGUUAUGUGGUUGAGGGAUAAAUAACGAUAAAUUUCACUCUCAUUUAACACCAUAUUUUCAUUUAGACAAAGUUCCUAACUGUGACGUGCACCUAAUUCACACAUCACGCAUUGUACACUUACCACUAGGCCAAAGUCCUAGGAGUUUGCUUUGUAGUAUCUCAUUAUUAUAUGGAUUUUACAAAAGGAAUUUCAGGGCCUUUUAGUAUGUUUUUUGGCUUUAGGCCACAAAAUCCGUUAAGCCGCACCUGUAAAAAAAAUUUUAGGCCAGUUUAAGAUGAGGUAAAACACCUACACUGCUAUACAAUAUGGACGCAUAGAACAUGAACUUGAAGAAAAUAACCUAAUAGAUGGCACUAUUUUCCCAAUCAAAGAUAAAUCAAAGACAUAAUUUAUGGUAAAACGAUGGAUCGACAAAAUUCGCUCUCGUCAUAGCAUAAAAAACGGAGACAGAAUUUAACUAGACUUAUAGAUCGUAAAAUACGCUCUAAUCAAAGUACUACAGCGAUGAAUUAUCCAUAAUACAAAGUACACAAGCAAUCACCAAAUUUUAGAUCAUUAUAGCCUCGAGAGUAUUUUAAAAGGCCAACGAUUCAGCAAAAGAAUCACCGAUCGCACCUAAUAGACACAAACCAUGGAUAAAAGAGAUAAAUUUAACAAAAAAAUGAACAGAUCUAGGGUUACUUACG